UGAUCAGGUUGAUAGGUCUGAGGUGGAAGUGUGGCGACACAUGGAGCUGACAGAUACUAAUCGAUCGAGGACUUAACCAUAUUU
RNAcentral lists this ribosomal RNA (84 nucleotides) under Bacillus subtilis. RNAcentral describes it as "partial 23S ribosomal RNA". Lineage: Bacteria; Bacillati; Bacillota; Bacilli; Caryophanales; Bacillaceae. The record is from RNAcentral.